AUGAUGAUGGUGGUGAUGUUGGGUCAUUGUCUUCAUGGGAGUCAGGGAAGGCUAACUGAUUCUUCAUCUCACCAUAUCUUACAUACAUAGAUAGAGAGAGAGAUACUAACAUAUAUGGAUCUUGAAAUUUUGUACUGUUUUUAGGUUUUUUGCCGCAUAUUUAUAGUGAUUUUUGAUGGGAGAGAGCUAUUAAGAGUUUCAUCAGCCAGCAUUAUUUUUAGAUCAGAUUUAAUGAGCGGUGGUAGAGCUCGAGAAUUUAGAUAAUGUUUUCAGAUAGUCAAGUCUAUUUGUUUAUUUAUUAAAGCCUAGGUUAACGUGUGGGCCAGAUAUGAAAUAGUAGUAUGCCUAGAAUUCAUAUUAUUGCACACUAAGGACGAUUAGUGUGAUAUUAAAUAAUUAGGCCCAGAAAAUGACAUUCGUUGUGAAGAGCUAUAAGCCAU
RNAcentral lists this long non-coding RNA (440 nucleotides) under Brassica napus (rape). RNAcentral describes it as "long non-coding RNA (BNAP_LNC027010)". Lineage: Eukaryota; Viridiplantae; Streptophyta; Magnoliopsida; Brassicales; Brassicaceae. The record is from RNAcentral.